UUACUUUGACUCUGGCCUCAAAUCAGGUAGGACUACCCGCUGAACUUAAGCAUAUCAAUAAGCGGAGGAAAAGAAACUAACAAGGAUUCCCCUAGUAACGGCGAGUGAACCGGGAAGAGCUCAAAUUUGAAAUCUGGCAGUCUUCGAUUGUCCGAGUUGUAAUCUAUAGAAGCGUUUUCCGUGCUGAACUGUGUAUAAGUCCCUUGGAACAGGGUAUCAAAGAGGGUGACAAUCCCGUACUUUACACAAUCAUCAGUGCUCUGUGAUACGUUCUCUACGAGUCGAGUUGUUUGGGAAUGCAGCUCAAAAUGGGUGGUAAAUUCCAUCUAAAGCUAAAUAUUGGCGAGAGACCGAUAGCGAACAAGUACCGUGAGGGAAAGAUGAAAAGCACUUUGGAAAGAGAGUUAAACAGUACGUGAAAUUGUUGAAAGGGAAACGAAAUUCAUGAAUCAUGUUUAUUGGACUCAGCCGUUCUUCGGUGUACUUCCUUUAAACGGGUCAACAUCAGUUUUGUCCGAUGGAUAAAGGUAGUAGGAAGGUGGCUCUCUCGGGAGUGUUAUAGCCUAUUGCUGCAUACAUUGGAUGAGACUGAGGACUGCAGCUUGCCUUUAUGGCCGGGGUUCGCCCACGUCAA
RNAcentral lists this ribosomal RNA (634 nucleotides) under Apiotrichum porosum. Its description in RNAcentral is "eukaryotic LSU rRNA". It matches the Rfam family "Eukaryotic large subunit ribosomal RNA", at positions 1 to 638 of the family's 3401-position model. Lineage: Eukaryota; Fungi; Basidiomycota; Tremellomycetes; Trichosporonales; Trichosporonaceae. The record is from RNAcentral.